Molecule: ribosomal RNA, 596 nt
Filed under: Tomentella sp. YM1054
Lineage: Eukaryota; Fungi; Basidiomycota; Agaricomycetes; Thelephorales; Thelephoraceae
Description: eukaryotic LSU rRNA
Rfam family: 5.8S ribosomal RNA (bases 174-328)
Source: RNAcentral
CUGGUCCUUGAAGGGGUCACGUGCACGCUCUGUUUACACAUCCACUCACACCUGUGCACCCUUGUAGUUCUAUGGCCUGGGGACUCUGUCCUCUUGCCGUGGUCCUACGUCUUUACACACACACCGUAACAAAGUAUCAUGGAAUGUAUGCCGCGUCUAACGCAAUACAAUACAACUUUCAGCAACGGAUCUCUUGGCUCUCGCAUCGAUGAAGAACGCAGCGAAAUGCGAUAAGUAAUGUGAAUUGCAGAAUUCAGUGAAUCAUCGAAUCUUUGAACGCACCUUGCGCCCUUUGGCUAUUCCGAAGGGCAUGCCUGUUUGAGUAUCAUGAACACCUCAACUCUCAUGGUUCGCCAUGAUGAGCUUGGACUUUGGGGGUCUUGCUGGCGUAACUGCCAGCUCCUCUCAAAUGAAUCAGCUUCCCAGUGUUUGGUGGCGUCACAGGUGUGAUAACUAUCUACGCUUGUGGUCUUCCAUCAGGUUACCUUCAGUAAUGGAGGUUCACUGGAGCUCACAGACGUCUCUCCUCAGGGAGGACAAGCUUCUUAACGUUUGAUCUCAAAUCAGGUAGGACUACCCGCUGAACUUAAGCAUAU